UACGGUGGGGGCAAGCGUUGUUCGGAAUUACUGGGCGUAAAGGGCUUGUAGGUGGCCAACUAAGUCAGACGUGAAAUCCCUCGGCUUAACCGGGGAACUGCGUCUGAUACUGGAUGGCUGGAGAGUGGGAGAGGGAUGCGGAAUUCCAGGUGUAGCGGUGAAAUGCGUAGAUAUCUGGAGGAACACCGGUGGCGAAGGCGGCAUCCUGGACCAACACUGACACUGAAAAGCGAAAGCCAGGGGAGCAAACGGG
RNAcentral lists this ribosomal RNA (253 nucleotides) under uncultured bacterium. RNAcentral describes it as "partial 16S ribosomal RNA". It matches the Rfam family "Bacterial small subunit ribosomal RNA", at positions 524 to 776 of the family's 1533-position model. The record is from RNAcentral.